Gopherus evgoodei (Goodes thornscrub tortoise) is the source of this 263-nucleotide non-coding RNA. The record is from Ensembl. NCBI's taxonomy places the organism in Eukaryota, Metazoa, Chordata, Testudines, Testudinidae.
GGUCUGUGAUGAAUAGUAAAGGUCUGAUUGCCUGAAGAAUUACACUUCCAUUACUCUUUCAACUCCCAGCAAUUUCUCACCCAUCAUACCUCAGCAAUGCUGGACUGGGGGAGUGUUUGCUGACAAAUGGUGAUGUGUUCAGUUCGUGUUCCCUAGAGCAUCACAGGCACAAUUCUGAUCUGCAUCCAACAGAACCAGUCAAGGAAUAAGGAGUUUUGGAGGUGCAUAUGGGGUACAUGAUCUCAAACUUUCUUGCUGAGACC